UCCUUAUCGAGAGAGACUGAGGGGCUGGCCCGAUGACGUUUCAGCAACCAGCGUGUUUCAUUUGCAUGCAAAGGUGCAUAAAUCCUGCAGAUUAAAAUUCUGAAAGAUGAGGG
RNAcentral lists this non-coding RNA (113 nucleotides) under Clostridium sp. Its description in RNAcentral is "SAM-I sequence". It matches the Rfam family "SAM riboswitch aptamer (S box leader)". From Rfam's summary of the family: The SAM riboswitch is found upstream of a number of genes which code for proteins involved in methionine or cysteine biosynthesis in Gram-positive bacteria. The SAM riboswitch acts at the level of transcription termination control. Lineage: Bacteria; Bacillati; Bacillota; Clostridia; Eubacteriales; Clostridiaceae. The record is from RNAcentral.